AACGCACAUUGCGCCCUCUGGUAUUCCGGGGGGCAUGCCUGUUCGAGCGUCAUUACAACCCUCAAGCCCUGCUUGGUGUUGGGCAGCACUGGACCCGGUGCGCCCUAAAAUCAGUGGCGGUGCCAUCUGGCUUCCAAGCGUAGUAACACUUCUCGCUUCUGGAGGCCCGGGUGUGCACCCGCCAGGAAAUCACUGCCCACUCAAGGUUGACCUCGGAUCAGGUAGGGAUACCCGCUGAACUUAA
This 244-nucleotide unclassified non-coding RNA is filed under the name uncultured fungus. Its description in RNAcentral is "sequence contains ITS2". The stretch from base 1 to 52 matches the Rfam family "5.8S ribosomal RNA", at positions 103 to 154 of the family's 154-position model. The record is from RNAcentral. Lineage: Eukaryota; Fungi.